CCGCCCGGGGCCGGUCACCCAGCGGCGACGCGCGGGGGUCACCACCUGGAGUGUAGGGCACCCUUGAUGCUUACACCCUUCCCGAGAGAUGGCCCGCGCCUCGGGACUCCAGCUCCGAGGGCACCGCCCACAGUCGCCAGGGAGGAUUAGCCUCCGGCGCUGCCCUCCGGGGGGUGGGGUGGGGGCUGUCCGCGUUGUCAUGGGGACUAGGCGCCCCCUCGCGGGCUGGGGAGGAACCAGGCGGCCAAGCUUGGCUAUGAGCCCCGCCUCCGCCCUAACCACGCACUCUGGACCCCGAAGUGUUUUCACGCCUCUCUUCCAUGGCUUGAAGCCCCUUCGCUGUCCCGCCUGCAGUUUAAUCCUGAUUUUGAGGGUUUGGUCCCAACAGGCCCCUGGUGUGCAGCGGGGCGGAUUCUAGCAACGUGCUUCUGUCGGGGCAGAGCGCUGCCUGUUGGCCGCCGGGCAGCCAAAAGACUGGAGCCGUCGGGGCCUGGGGAAGAGCAGAAAGGAAACUUUGGAAGAACCAGGCUGUUCUGGGACCAUCAACAUGACUCGAGAAACCAAGGAUUCCCAUAAAACACUCCACUCAGGCUGCACGUGCCACCCCUUAAGAGCUGGGAACUGGGCUACUUCCUGAAGACAGCACAGGUGGGUGUGUAGAGUCUGGGAGGGUAAGGAUGGGGGGUCUUGAGUUUGAGCCCUGCCUCACUGCGCUGUUUUUAUGGCCAGUGAGCCUGACAAUGGCAAGGCACUUUUGGACUUGACUUCCUAUCUGGGUGCUAAAGGAUCAGAGCUGAUGAGACCUUUUCUGGUGACACUCACUGACUCUGCCUUUCAGUUAAAAGAAUGAUUUUCAGCCAGCUUUUUCUUUCUUGGGACUUGGUAAGGAUGAAUGAGUCACUGUUUGUUCUAGGUUCUUCUUGGGAGCUAGACAAACAUACAAAGGGAUAAAGACUGGGAAGGUCUACAAGGGGCAGUGUUUCAAAUGGUCUUCUACACAGCACCCGGUUCUCUUCAGCAGCCUCUCUAAGUUGUGCUUCUGGGUGUGGCUCAAUCAGUCUCACUGCUGGGGCCCUACAGGGCUCCUUGAGUAAGCGGGAAAGCCAGCCUUUCUCAGAGAUCCCAAUGUUCUGUUCACCCGAUCUGUGGCUCGGAUCUUCCCAGGUUCUUAAGAACACUCAUCUGACGGUCUCAGGGAUGUCUCUGCAGACUGCUUCCAGGAAGACUGGUAUUUAUCUGUACCAUCUCUGGUGAGGGAAAGAGCUGGCACCUGGCUCUCCUGGCUAGCCUGAAGGAGAGUCUCUGUGGAAGUUCUGGCUCCCCUUUUCAUUCCAAAAUAUGCCUUUCUCCUCCUUGGUUACUAAUGCUUGAUUAUAAUUACCAUCCACAUUGGUCGCUCCCUCUGAAAGAACUGAGGCUUUGUAAGGAGUGCCAUCCUUGGUCAAGGUUUCAGGUGCUCCAUACUCGGGUUACUUCUCUUCUGCCAAUCUCUAGUCUGCCUCCUUCUGAGCUGGUUCUAGAAGCAGUGGUCUAGUAAUGUCGCUCCCACCCUCAUUUAGAGGGAAAUCCAUGAAGCCGGGCAGGGGUCCUACACACCCACUCACAGGGAGGGUCAGUGGUGGUAGCUAGGCUGGCCAUCAGCCAGAGGCACAGCAGCCUGGUUGGAAGUAGUGAGCUCAUUACUGGGAAGGGGAAGGGGAUUACUGAGCUUAUCUGCCAUCAUGGUAUGACAGCCUGGUACAGGCCCUCGAGGGACAGACAAGUCUUUUCACUAGUCCUAAGAGUCCUUUCCUAGGAUGAGAUGGGGUGUGCUUUAAAGCCUUUGUCUACUGGCAAGUAGGACUUCACAAUCACCAAGAGACACCCAAGAAGCUUGUUCCCAGUCUGUGCUUGGCAAGAGGACUGAGGCUGAGACAAUGGGAAAGAAUCAAGAGCAGCAUUGAGAGCACAGAAUGCAAGGCAGCUGCCUGUGCCUGGACAAAGGCAGACAACCACCUGUCUUGGGGGAGGGCUGCAAUCUUGGCCCAGCUGGUGGGCUAGAUUCUGUGCCCUUGGGAAUGGGUGUGCCAGGGAACUGCCGUCACACAGGGACAGGCAGCAAGCCUUAAGCAGCUGCCUGUGAAACAGACUGGCACUCUGAGUUCCUACUUCUCUAUUUGUUCUUAGGCAAGAGGCCUAUCCAUCUUAGGCGCCAACACUGGCUUAUCCUAUUUUCCAAUGCACCAGAUACCUGAUUCACCUAAAUAGGAUCUAGAGAUCUUAGGAAAUUAUAAAAACAUGGGUGUGUUCCUGUGGUAUAUUUUUAUGCAGGAGAGAAUAUGUUGCUUUCUUUCUUUUUUUUUUUUUUUUUCUUUUCUUUUUUUUUUUUUUUUUGGAGCUGGGGCCCGAACCCAGGGCCUUGCGCUUGCUAGGCAAGCGCUCUACCACUGAGCUAAAUCCCCAACCCCAAUAUGUUGCUUUCUUAAAAAAAAGAAAAAGAAAAGAAAAACCAACCCAUUUACUUUGUGUACGUGUGUAGUCAAAAGGACAACCUCAGGGAGUUGAUUCUUCCCUCCUAUCAUGAGAGUCCUGGGGACUAAACUCAGGUCACCAGAUUUGAGAUAUAGGCCCUUCACUGUUUGAGCCAUCGCAAAGGCCUUGUUUUAUGUUUCAUUUUUUGAGAGAGAGUCUUGCUAUCCAACCCAUGGUAGCUUCAAACUCAAGACAAUCCUCUUACCUCAGCCACUUGGGUGCUGGCACCACCAUAUAUAGUUGUAGAGGGUUUUUGGAUGAGAAAGGCUUAAAUCAGUUGUAGGAAAGAGAUCUGAAUUGGAAAAUUCCGAGGCCCAAUUCUAACAGUGAUUUGUGGGGAGGCCUAACAUAACCUUAUUAGUUUGCCUGAAGUAAAAAUAAAAGAGAUAAACGUGGCUAAACUUUAAGUCCAGCAUGGUAGAAAGAGUCUGUGAUGGGGAGUUUGAGGGAAUCUACAAUGUGUGUCAAGGUCAGUCAGCCUUGGUUACAUACUGAGAUCUUGGGGUAACUUGGCAGAACUUAAGACAAAGUCUCAUUUAUGCUAAAUGUGUAUGAGACCCUAAAUUUCCUAUCUUAAGGCUACAGGAUCCCAAGCAAUCAGAAUAAAUAGCAGAACCAUAACUGGUGGGUGAGUUAACCCCACUAAGCCCAGGCUAGGACUGUCUCAUGGUCUAGUGCCCAUUUUCCUUAGGAAGAGGCUCGAGCUCCCAGAAGCCCAAGAUGGUUUAGGCUCCCUGAGACUCUGGGAUGCUGAAGAGAACAUAUGGGAGAAGAGAGAAAAUAGAGGCCAAAGCCACCUUCAUGUUUGGCUGAGGAGUCUGUGACUCACACCAAAUCCGUGGGCUAGGGUCUGAGGCAUGACAUCUAGGAGGAGGGGUGACGACAAACUGGGUUAGAGAGUGCCUCUGCAGGGGAAAUCUCUUUAAAAGGGAGAGGCUAGAGGACUGUGCUAGGGACAAAGGUGAAUGGUGUGAGCCAAAGAUAAAACCAGACUGGAAAAAACAGGUCUCUGAAACACAGGAAAGGAAAUGCCUACAACUAUUAUGUUGGUAUGAAUAAAAUUAUAGUCCAGAAUUCUAUACCAAUUUUGGAGAGGAUAUCAACUAGAUUUAUCUUAGGAAUUCCUAAGGAGAAGAAAUAAGAUAGCCAGCUUCAUGUGGUUUGGGGAAAAGGAGAUAUUUGAGAGCCCACACAGAUCCUAGACCAGAGACAGUACAGAGAAAGGGCAAAAAGUGACAGAUCCAGCAUCUGUGCUAAAAGUAGCUCAGAGAUGUAGCCUUUGUUAUGGAAAGACACAAGGAAGUAGUAAGAGAGCCUUUCUGGACACAGAAGCAUAGAAGCAAGUAGCAGCCAGAACAAGGCCCUCCCUCUCUUCUGUAAGAGCAAUGUCAAUGGGUCAGACUUAAACCUGGAAGGUGGAGGUGAAGAGGAUCAGAAGUUCAUGAUCCUCCCUGGUGAUAUAAAUUCUGAGGCUAGACUGGAACACAAGAUCUUGUCUGGAAAAAAUAAAAUAAAUAGAAAUAAAGACAAUGUGGGCACUCCCAAAGGCCCAAGGCUUUGCAUGACCAGUCACAACAAGCAUUCCGGUCUGUACAACAUUCAGAAGACUGCAACCGAGUGAAGAGCAGCAUCAGGGCAGCCUGGAGACAGAAGUGGCAUUUAGUCAGCUGGAACCCUGCAGUGCCCCACACAGCAAUCAGCCUGCUCUGCAGUGAAGCAGAGCUUCACACACUCCACCUGGCUGGGUCUAGAAACUGAUAAUCAGGCUCAUUCCAGGACCUUGAGUACGUGGCUGAAGAGACCUCUAUCCUUCAAAAAGCCAGAGGAAGGGGAAAAGGUGCCGUUAGGUCAGAUGUGAUCUUAUUCCCUGUUUCUUCCUUACUCAAAGCUUGAUAACAAUCAUUGUGACUUCACAUUGAGCUUUUCAGUCAGCUUCCACCAUUAUGAGAUACAGCUUCUAGUACAAAAGGAGCAGGGCACAGAGACAGUCUGUUGGAGAUCGGUAGCCUGACCAAUUAGUUUUAUUUAUUUAUCUUAUGUGCAUCUUUUUAAAGUGUAUUUUAUUAUAUAAUAUAAUUAUAUAUUAUAAAACAAAAUAUCAUUACAUUUUAUAAUUUUGUAAUAACUACAAUUUCAUGAUAAUAAAGAUAAAUGCUAUUUUAUGUGUAUGUUUGUCUGCAUGUAUGUAUAUGCAUGUGUAUCCUGGUAAACAUGGACAUCAGAAGAGGGAGUUCGCCUGGAACUAGAGUUACAAAUGGUUGUGAACUAUCACAUGAGUAUUGAGAACCUAACCUGGGUCUCUUACAAGAAAAACAAUGCUCUCACCUGCUGAACCAUCUCUUCAAAGACCUCCCAAUUUUAUUUAUUAUUUGUUUAUUUAUUUAGGUUCUUUAAGACAAGAAGGUUUCUCUGUUUCUCAGUCCUGGCAGUCCUGUAAGUCAGGGUUAGGCCAGGUUGGCCUUGAACUCACUGAGAUCCGAUGCCUCUUCUUCCUGAGUGCAGGGAUAAAGGUGUGCGACACCGUGCUAGCUUCAAUUUUAUUUCUGAAGUUACUGUCUGUUGCAUUUAUAUAAACAUGAGACCACUUGUUGAAUUUUUCUAGAAAAGGCUUUUAGGAAAACCUUUGAUAUCCAGUCUUUUGCCUGAGGGGAAUUUGCUAUCACUAGGAAAACAGAUAAGAGACAAAGGAAAAUGAAACACUGUCUAGAUUCAAGAAAGCAACCACUGAAGUAUCUGGUUUGAUCUGUUUUGGCAGCGCCAGAGAUUGAACCUAAGAACUUACAUAUAUCCUAGACUCCAUCACUGACCCACACUCUCAGCUCUCUGCCACUUUGAAAUUGGAGCUUAUAUAUAGCCCAAGCUGGCCUUAACUCAUGAUCCUCGUCUUCAUUCUCUAAAGCAGUUGGGAAUCACAUGGGUCCCAAAGCAUACCCAGCUACUCAAACAGUUGUUGUUGUUGUUUUUUUUUUUUUUUUUUUUUUUCGUUUGGAAA
Molecule: non-coding RNA, 5503 nt
Organism: Rattus norvegicus (Norway rat)
Lineage: Eukaryota; Metazoa; Chordata; Mammalia; Rodentia; Muridae
Source: RefSeq, a predicted model, not a curated record